Phycodurus eques (leafy seadragon) is the source of this 643-nucleotide long non-coding RNA. RefSeq lists it as uncharacterized. NCBI's taxonomy places the organism in Eukaryota, Metazoa, Chordata, Actinopteri, Syngnathiformes, Syngnathidae. The transcript has 4 exons. The record is from RefSeq and is a predicted model, not a curated record.
UUCCGACUUAGGUACAAAUUGGUGUUACGCUGCAAACGUAGGAACAGAAUUUGUCAUAAACCGAGAAUUUCUGUAUUGUAUCCCGAGUGCACUUUGUGUCAUUAAGCAGAUGCAGGACGUGUACCUCAUAAUCAGCGCCUCCAUGAGGAAAUCCAUUUCAUCCUGCUCAGAGCAGAUUUCCGGAAGAGUCUGCGGAAGAGAAAGAUCUUCAGACACCUCACAGUCGAUGGAAGCUGGCGAACACCGUGUCGGCACAAAACUGCACGAGUCUCUUACUGAGGAUGACUCCGGCGCAGAUCAACACCACGCCGCUGACGACGGUGGAGAUGACCACGGCCAGGACCAGCGUGGUCGACAUCUGGCCCGGAGGAGGCGGGACUGGAGGAGCUGCAAGAAGAAGAAGAUGGAAAUGUCAAGGCGAUAUCCCAACAGUGUUGGGAGUAACACAUUUUAAAACCAGCUCCGCCUCCUCCAGCCGUGCAGGCGCCACCUCCGCCUCCGAACCCCCCGUUGGUGGACCAGCCCAGUUUGGACUUUGACAAAAGGCACGCUGCACCCCCGUCGGCACCUUCUGCCAGGGACUUGCCGGCCACCAGGUGCUGUCACACUGGGCCUGGGUCGGCCCGUAAGGACCGCUGGCGCC